Molecule: ribosomal RNA, 468 nt
Filed under: uncultured bacterium
Lineage: Bacteria
Description: partial 16S ribosomal RNA
Rfam family: Bacterial small subunit ribosomal RNA
Source: RNAcentral
GACGAACGCUGGCGGCGGGCUUAACACAUGCAAGUCGAACGGAAAGGCCCUGCUUUUUUGGGGUGCUCGAGUGGCGAACGGGUGAGUAACACGUGAGUAACCUGCCCUUGACUUUGGGAUAACUUCAGGAAACUGGGGCUAAUACCGGAUAGGAGCUCCUGCUGCAUGGUGGGGGGUGGAAAGUUUCGGCGGUUGGGGAUGGACUCGCGGCUUAUCAGCUUGUUGGUGGGGUAGUGGCUUACCAAGGCGUUGACGGGUAGCCGGCCUGAGAGGGUGACCGGCCACAUUGGGACUGAGAUACGGCCCAGAGUCGUACGGGAGGCAGCAGUGGGGAAUAUUGCACAAUGGGCGGAAGCCUGAUGCAGCAACGCCGCGUGCGGGAUGACGGCCUUCGGGUUGUAAACCGCUUUAGCCUGUGACGAAGCGUGAGUGACGGUAAUGGGUAAAGAAGCACCGGCUAACUACGUG